This 218-nucleotide long non-coding RNA is filed under the name Elaeis guineensis (African oil palm). RNAcentral's name for it is "long non-coding RNA (EGUI_LNC064462)". The record is from RNAcentral. Lineage: Eukaryota; Viridiplantae; Streptophyta; Magnoliopsida; Arecales; Arecaceae.
UGUGAGUUUUCUGAGAGUGUCUUACAUCUAAAACUUCUUCUCCUACUUCUCAUCUUUGGAAGAGUCCAAAUCAAGAAGGAGGCAUCUAAUCGACCAUCGAAGAAGGAUCAGCACAGUACUAGCAUACUGUGCUGAUUUCCUGGACCAGAACUUCUGAUCGUGAUUUGUGGGCUCGUGUGGAUGACUCCUAAUGGUCGGAUGCAUGUGUGGCUCAUAAC